Rattus norvegicus (Norway rat) is the source of this 849-nucleotide long non-coding RNA. RefSeq lists it as uncharacterized. NCBI's taxonomy places the organism in Eukaryota, Metazoa, Chordata, Mammalia, Rodentia, Muridae. The record is from RefSeq and is a predicted model, not a curated record.
UCUUACCUCCUCUUCCUGGGUACCCAAACUAUUGACCUGCACAACCACAUCCGUUUAUAGCACUGAGGAUGGAAGCCAGGGCUUUGUGAGUGUGGGGUAGCCUGUGGCUAGAAGCCUCAAUGAUGGUCCCACAUCACAGCUCAAGCUUGGGAAGGGCGGCAGAAACAGGGCAGAAGUGCACUCCCACAGCGUCCCUCAGCAUCCCAUGUGUAUGGUGUUGUGCACAGUGUUUCCCAUCUUCCCGAUUAACAAGCAAAGCAAAGCAACAGCAGAAAGAGUUGGCUUGACGCUGAGGAGAUGUGGGCAACAUGUUUGCCUCCCAGCACAAGGACCUGAAUCUGAUUACCCAGGAUCCCAGGAAAAGCUCUAGAAACGCCUGCUCCUUCUUACCCAUUGUGGGCUGGGCUACAUUCCUGCAAUCCUGGGCUGUUCAUAAAACACAAACAGCCCAUUCAACAGGUCUGGCCUCUGGAGGACGCAUAGCUCUCACCUACUCAGGCUGCCUCAGCUCUUGCCCCAGGGCCUGGGAAGGAAGACAUGACCACUCCCAUUCCCAGUACUAGGACUUAACAAGACCCACGAGAUGAAGACAAUGGUGUGAACCAGUGAUCAGGUCCCCCAUCUGCCACACCCUGCUACACCCAUGCUGACUCUCUCAGAGGCAAGAGGCUCUCAGCUCCUGCUCAGACCUUCCAAGAAGAACCCUAUAGUGAAACAACAAGCAAAACUGACCUCCUGUCGAGGUUAAUAAGCAAGUCAGGCUUUGCCAGAGAAAGAGUGCGCACAAAGAACACAGACGGCAUUGUAGUUCUUUUCCUCGUUGCAGAGAAAAAGAAUCGACGAGAGAAA